Molecule: ribosomal RNA, 323 nt
Filed under: uncultured bacterium
Lineage: Bacteria
Description: bacterial SSU rRNA
Rfam family: Bacterial small subunit ribosomal RNA
Source: RNAcentral
GACGAACGCUGGCGGCGUGCUUAACACAUGCAAGUCGAGCGGUAAGGCCCUUUCGGGGGUACACGAGCGGCGAACGGGUGAGUAACACGUGGGUGACCUGCCCUCAGCUCUGGGAUAAGCCCGGGAAACUGGGUCUAAUACUGGAUAUGACUCCACGGUGCAUGCCGUGGGGUGGAAAGCCUUGUGCGGCUGAGGAUGGGCCCGCGGCCUAUCAGCUUGUUGGUGGGGUGAUGGCCUACCAAGGCGACGACGGGUAGCCGCCUGAGAGGGCGACCGGCCACACUGGGACUGAGACACGGCCCAGACUCCGUACGGGAGGCAGC